RNAcentral lists this transfer RNA (65 nucleotides) under Dipodomys ordii (Ord's kangaroo rat). It matches the Rfam family "tRNA". From Rfam's summary of the family: Transfer RNA (tRNA) molecules are approximately 80 nucleotides in length. Their secondary structure includes four short double-helical elements and three loops (D, anti-codon, and T loops). Lineage: Eukaryota; Metazoa; Chordata; Mammalia; Rodentia; Heteromyidae. The record is from Rfam by way of RNAcentral.
GGUGGCUCAGUGGUAGAGUGCUUGCCUUGCAAGCAUGAGGCCCUGGGUUCAAUUCCUAAGCACCA